GAGAUGGUGAGCGACAGGAAGCGGCAGCAGCGGCGGCGGGGCGAGGUUAUCUUCGUCGACGUCGACGCAAUUCUCUUCGAGCAUGUGCUCUGGAUUGUGUAUAAUGAUUGUAGACAAACUUCGGGGGCGGAUUCAUCGUAUUCUUCUAAUUUGCUUCAGCUCAAUCUCAAAGAGAUUAUAGAGUUCUAUUCUCAGGAUUCAUGAACUAUCUUCGAG
This 216-nucleotide unclassified non-coding RNA is filed under the name Hevea brasiliensis (rubber tree). Lineage: Eukaryota; Viridiplantae; Streptophyta; Magnoliopsida; Malpighiales; Euphorbiaceae. The record is from RNAcentral.